CUUUAUUCGAGCAUGUGCAACAGCAUUUUAUGGAAAUCUGUUAACACUCCUCCUUGCCUUAAUAGCUGAAGAGACCUAGUUUGUUUCUUAACUCUUCAAAUCUGACUCUUGAUAAGGAUUUGGUAAAUAUAUCUGCCACUUGAUUCUCAGUUCUGCAAUAAAGUAGAUUAACCUCUCCUCUUUUUCUUUUUAUUUUUUUAUUUGUACCUCUCUUAAGUAAUAUAACUUAAUGUUGAAGUGCUUAGUCCUCUCAUGAAAAAUCGAAUUAUUUGCAAUCGAAAUUGUAGCUUGGUUGUUUAUAUGAAUCUGUGUUGGCAUAUCUUUCUCUAUGCAUAAAUCUGCAAGCAAUUUUCUGAUCCAUAUUGUUUGAUUCACAGCAGCAGUUGCUGCUACAUACGCUUCUGCUGUGCUUUGAACUACUAUGUCUUGUUUCUUUGAACUCCAUGAGAACGUUCCUGAUCCAAAACUGAAACCGAAAACAGUUGUACUCCUCAUAUCAUCAACAGAACCUGCCCAGUCACUAUCAGCAAAUCCAUGAAACAUAAAAUUUUGACAGUAACUGUAUUUGAUGCCAUAGUUCAUUGUCCCUUUGAUAUAUCUUAUAAAUCUCUUUGCAGCCUGAAAAUGUACUUCACUGCCACAGUGCAUGAACCUUGAAAGUAAACUCACAGUAAACAUGAUGUCAGGUUUAGUUGCUGUAAGAUACCCCAGGCAACCAAUCAAGCUGCUGUAGAGUCCUUCGUCAUCCUUGUCUGCUCCAUCAUUCUUGCUGAACUUUUCCUUUUGAUUUAAUGGUGUACUUGUACUCUUGCAGUCUUCCAUGCGAAAUUUUCUAAGUACUUCCUUUGCAUAUUUCUUUUGACAUAUGAAGACUCCAUCAUGACUUUGCUUCACUUCCAUUCCCAGAAAAUAGGACAUUAACCCAAGAUCAAGAUCUGUCAUCUAAAAAACUUUGAGCAUUUCACCUUUAAAUUCUUGUAUCAGCUUCUCAUCACUGCCCGUUACAAGUAAAUCAUCAACAUAAAUAGAAACUAAGUUCAUAUUAGCAUCUGUUCCUUUUAUAUACAAGGUGACCUCACUUGGACUUUUAACAAAAUUGGGACUUUGCAAGUGUUCAUCAAUCCUGCCGUACCAAGCUCUAGGAGCCUGUUUAAGACCAUGCAAUGCUUUCUUUAACAAGUAGACCUUCUCCUCUUGUCCCUUGACUUGAAAACCUUCAGGUUGCUCUAUAAAUAUCUCCUCCUGCAAAUAACCAUUUAAAAAGGCAAAUUUUACAUCCAAGUGGUAAACUUUCCAUCCCUUCCGUGCUGUCAAGGCAAGCAACAUUCUGAUUGUAUCAAGUCAUGCUAUUGGAGCAAAAGUCUCUAACAAAUCUAUUCCAAACACUUGAGCAUAUCCUUUCACAGCUAAUCUAGCUUUGCAUUUGUUUAUAGAACCAUCUGCAUUAAAUUUGGUUCCAUAAACCCAUUUGACUCCUAUAGGCUUUUUGUGUUGAGGUUUGGCUAUCAACUCCCACUUAUCCUUCUUUUCAAUCAUUUUGAGCUCCUCUUUCAUGGCUUCAAUCCAUUUGUCAUCCUUCUCCGCCUCCUUAAAUUCUGCAGGCUAAAAAAUAGCAAUAUUACAUCUUUCAUAAAUAUCAGAUAAUGACCUUAUACCUCUGACUGGUUCAUCAUCUAUGUUAUCACCAAAGCUUUGUCGAAUUUUUGAUUGUUGCUUGUCUAUCGAACCCUCUCAAUUCCAUUGUCUAUCUUCCAUGAACUUGACAUUUCUACUUACAAGAAUUUUUCCAUUUUGAGGUUGUAAAAUCUUGUAAGCGUUGGAUGAGUUGCUAUAUCCAAUAAAAACUCCUGGUUCUGCAUUCUUGUCAAGUUUGUCUCUUUUCACCUGUGGCACGUAAGAAAAACAGAGGCAAUCGAAAGUUCUUAAAUGUUGCAAGUCUGGUUUAUAACCAAACCAAGCUUCAAAUAGAGUUUUUCUGCAGAACUCUGGUUGAUCGUCUAUUUAGCAAAUAAACUGCAGUGUUUGCAGCUUCUGCCCAUAGUUUCUUAGAUAGCUCCUUUUCGUGCAACAUACAGCUUGUCAUUUCCAUAAUACUUCUGUUUUUUCUUUCACUUACACUGUUCUGCUGUGGAGUAUAUGGUGUUUUGAACUAAUGUUCAAUACCUGCUUCAUCACAUAAUUUUUUACAACUAUCACAAGUGUAUUCCUUCCCAUUAUCUGACCUUAUUAUCUGCAUCCUGCAACCACUUUGAUUCUCCACCCAUGUUUUAUAAGACCGAGAUACAUUAGCAACCUCCUAUUUAAAUUUGAGGAAAUAAAUCCAACAUAAUCUGGUAUAAUCAUCAAUAAAUGCAAUAUAGUAUUUAUUGCCAUUUAAAGAAGACAUUUUUUGAUGUCCUCCAACAUAUGUGUAUAUUAGUUGAAGCUUGGGUGUUGCUCUCCAUGUAGUUUGAGGGAAAGGUCUUCUAGCUUGUUUACCAUAUUGACAAGCCACACAAUCAGAUAAUCUGUUUUCCAGCAACGGUAGCCCUUUCACCAGAUUGUGUUUCUGCAUAUAUAGAAGUCCAGCAUGAUGGAAAUGCCCAAGCCUUCUGUGCCAUAAUUCUUC
This 2608-nucleotide long non-coding RNA is filed under the name Olea europaea subsp. europaea. The record is from RNAcentral. Lineage: Eukaryota; Viridiplantae; Streptophyta; Magnoliopsida; Lamiales; Oleaceae.